CCUAAGGUAGCGAAAUUCCUUGUCAGGUAAGUUCUGACCCGCACGAAAGGUGUAACGAUUUGGGCGCUGUCUCGGCAGCAGACUCGGUGAAAUCUUAGUACCUGUGAAAAUGCAGGUUACCCGCAACUAGACGGAAAGACCCCAUGGAGCUUUACUGCAGCCUGAUAUUGAAUUCUGGUCAUACAUGUACAGGAUAGGUGGGAGACAAAGAGACGUGCACGCCAGUGUACGAGGAGUCGCUGUUGGGAUACCACUCUUGUGUGACCGGGGUUCUAACCUGGUAUCGAGAACAGGUACGGGGAGAGUGUCAGGUGGGCAGUUUGACUGGGGCGGUCGCCUCCCAAAGAGUAACGGAGGCGCCCAAAGGUACGCUCAGAUUGGAUGGAAACCAAUCGCCGAGUGCAAUUGCAGAAGCGUGCUUGACUGUGAGACUUACAAGUCGAACAGGGACGAAAGUCGGGAAUAGUGAUCCGGCGGUGCCGAAUGGAAGGGCCGUCGCUCAACGGAUAAAAGCUACCCUGGGGAUAACAGGCUGAUCUCGCCCAAGAGUUCACAUCGACGGCGAGGUUUGGCACCUCGAUGUCGGCUCAUCGCAUCCUGGAGCUGGAUUCGGUUCCAAGGGUUGGGCUGUCCGCCCAUUAAAGCGGUACGCGAGCUGGGUUCAGAACGUCGUGAGACAGUUCGGUCCCUAUCUGUUGUGGGCGAAGGAGAUCUGCGGAGAGCUGUCCUCAGUACGAGAGGACCGGGAUGGACCUACCGCUGGUGCACCGGUUGUUCCGCCAGGGGCAUAGCCGGGUAGCUAAGUAGGGAAAGGAUAAGCGCUGAAAGCAUCUAAGCACGAAGCCUACUCCAAGAUGAGAUCUCCCAUUCGCAAGAAGUAAGACCCCUUAAAGACGAUAAGGUAGAUAGGCCAGAGAUGGAAGUGCAGUGAUGUACGGAGUUGACUGGUACUAAUCGGUCGAGGACUUAAUCAG
RNAcentral lists this ribosomal RNA (974 nucleotides) under human gut metagenome. RNAcentral describes it as "bacterial LSU rRNA". It matches the Rfam family "Bacterial large subunit ribosomal RNA", at positions 1950 to 2925 of the family's 2925-position model. The record is from RNAcentral.